This 254-nucleotide long non-coding RNA is filed under the name Brassica napus (rape). RNAcentral describes it as "long non-coding RNA (BNAP_LNC000895)". Lineage: Eukaryota; Viridiplantae; Streptophyta; Magnoliopsida; Brassicales; Brassicaceae. The record is from RNAcentral.
GGGCGUAUUGAACUUGGUCAAUUUUCGAAAAGUUUAGAUUUUCCGUUAACCGUUUCAUUGUUAGGACUUAGUUUCGUUACGAAGAAUUUAUCAUAUGCUUUCUGACUGUGGGCUAUACGAUAAUUUAUCAUAUCAUAUAACCGGUUUUACGAAGGUUGUAAAUCAGUGAUAUGUAUACAUAGGUCAAAGUAGCGUUGUUUCUGUGAGUUUUACGAGAAACGUUUCUGCUGUGAUUUUGAUCUUAGGCGAAAGUU